This 448-nucleotide ribosomal RNA is filed under the name uncultured bacterium. RNAcentral's name for it is "partial 16S ribosomal RNA". It matches the Rfam family "Bacterial small subunit ribosomal RNA", at positions 330 to 794 of the family's 1533-position model. The record is from RNAcentral.
GCCAGACUCCUACGGGAGGCAGCAGUGGGGGAUAUUGCACAAUGGGGGGAACCCUGAUGCAGCGACGCCGCGUGGGUGAAGGAGCGUUUCGGCGCGUAAAGCCCUAUCGGCAGGGAAGAAGGAGGACGGUACCUGACUAAGAAGCCCCGGCUAACUACGUGCCAGCAGCCGCGGUAAUACGUAGGGGGCAAGCGUUAUCCGGAUUUACUGGGUGUAAAGGGGGCGCAGACGGCAGCGCAAGCCAGGAGUGAAAGCCCGGGGCCCAACCCCGGGACUGCUCUUGGAACUGCGCGGCUGGAGUGCAGGAGGGGCAGGCGGAAUUCCUGGUGUAGCGGUGAAAUGCGUAGAUAUCAGGAGGAACACCGGUGGCGAAGGCGGCCUGCUGGACAGCAACUGACGCUGAGGCGCGAAAGCGUGGGGAGCAAACAGGAUUAGAUACCCGAGUAUC